This is a non-coding RNA of Pelobates cultripes (western spadefoot toad), 308 nucleotides long. Lineage: Eukaryota; Metazoa; Chordata; Amphibia; Anura; Pelobatidae. The record is from the annotation of a GenBank genome assembly.
CACUGUGGUGGAACAGACCUCGCCAUGUGUUCUUGGAGGGGGCUGCUUGCCCGCCUCCUACUUUCUGACUAUGGCCCUGGGAUAUAUGGCAUUUGAAAACACUAUUUGUGCCCUGUGACAAAACGGGAGAUUCUGCACAAAUAUGUCUAUUGUCCAUAUUUUUUAUGAUUCCCUUUGUUUGUUGCACUGUCCCCCAUGUGUUUCAUCUGUGGGUUCAGCUGCAUAGACUAACAGACAAACUGUAGAGUUACUGGGUGGCCACCAUUUCAUGUAUCAGAGGCACAUGGUGAGAACAAUGGAUUGCCGGC